GUUUAGCACUGCCGCCGAUACCAAUGUGGAUCAAUCCCCCCAACACGUCCACACAAGCACCCAACUUAAGAGCAUCAAUGGGGCAAGUCUGUUGUGCAGGUGGUGAUGGUACUAUUGUCGGCGGCGGUGGAGGGCAUGGUGAAGGUGGUGGUGGAGAUGGUUUCACGAUUGGUGGUGUAACAACCGGAGGAUUUGGCACGUAGGGUGGUGGUGUUACCACUGGAGGGUUGGGUACAAAAGGUGGUGAAACGACUGGGGGUGUUGGUGCUGGUGGUUUUGGAGUGAAAGGGGGUGAAACAACAGGUGGUUUUGGAAUGACUGGUGGUGAAACAACAGGCGGUGUUGGUGCUGGUGGUUUUGGAGUGAAAGGUGGUGAAACAACAGGUGGUUUUGGAAUGACUGGUGGUGAAACAACCGGUGGUGUUGGUGCUGGUGGUUUUGGAGUGACUGGGGGUGAAACAACAGGUGGUGUUGGUGAUGGUGGUUUAGGCACAUAAGGUGGACUGACAGUGGGAGGUGGAUGUACUACUGGUGGUUUUGGGACAUAUGGAGGUUUUACAUGAGGUGGCUUGACAUGUGGAGGUCGGGGUGGAGGGCACGGUUUUGGUGUAGGGUGUUUAGGGGUCUUAGGGGUGGAAGGUGGUUUUACAUGUGGGGGAUAUUUAGGGUGGGUGGGGGUGGAUGGUGGUUUUACAUGAGGGGGAUAUUUAGGGUGGGUGGGGGUGGAAGGUGGUUUUACAUGAGGAGGUUGUUUGGGGUGGUGGGGGGUAGAAGGUGGUUUUACCUUAGGAGAUGGAUGUUUGGGAGGCAAUUUUGGGUGUUUUGGGGUGGAAGGAGGAUAAGGGCAGUAAG
This 852-nucleotide long non-coding RNA is filed under the name Nicotiana tabacum (common tobacco). RNAcentral's name for it is "long non-coding RNA (NTAB_LNC002472)". Lineage: Eukaryota; Viridiplantae; Streptophyta; Magnoliopsida; Solanales; Solanaceae. The record is from RNAcentral.